AAAUGUACAACUAUCAACAACGGAUCUCUUGGCAUCCCGCUCGAUGAAGAACGCAGCGAAUUGCGAUAAGUAAUGUGAAUUGCAGAAUUCAGUGAAUCAUCGAAUCUUUGAACGCACCUUGCACCUUUUGGUAUUCCGAAAGGUACGCCCGGUUGAGUAUUAUGAACACCU
RNAcentral lists this ribosomal RNA (171 nucleotides) under uncultured fungus. RNAcentral describes it as "5.8S ribosomal RNA". It matches the Rfam family "5.8S ribosomal RNA". Rfam says of the family: 5.8S ribosomal RNA (5.8S rRNA) is a component of the large subunit of the eukaryotic ribosome. It is transcribed by RNA polymerase I as part of the 45S precursor that also contains 18S and 28S rRNA. Functionally, it is thought that 5.8S rRNA may be involved in ribosome translocation. The record is from RNAcentral. Lineage: Eukaryota; Fungi.